Gossypium arboreum is the source of this 627-nucleotide long non-coding RNA. RefSeq lists it as uncharacterized. The transcript has 2 exons. NCBI's taxonomy places the organism in Eukaryota, Viridiplantae, Streptophyta, Magnoliopsida, Malvales, Malvaceae. The record is from RefSeq and is a predicted model, not a curated record.
UCGUCCCUAACGCUGGCACUGCCAACAAACAAAGCUAAGCUUAGAUAAACUGACCCCCCUCUCUUUGGCUUUCCCCCCUCUCUUUGGCUUUCUUUGCCUGUUCUCAUCAACCCCACAAAUAACAAUAAAAGGGUUCUUUUAUUAUUAUUAUUUUCGUUGAUAUAAAAGCUCGAUCCACUGUCUUUUAAACCAUGGCUAGCUUUACAACAAAGGAUAUGACAAACAUGCGUUUCCAAUUGGGAAAUGGGGAAGAAUCCUUCAAGAGAGAAAAAAAAGGGCGAGCUUUUCGCUGGCGGUUGUGGACAAUAUAAUUAAUGCUCUUCCACACAUAUAUAUAAUGAUAAUGCUUUAAUCUGUUAAACCAUGAUUUAUUAUUAUUUUCCUUCAUAUCAGCUUUUGUUUAUAUAAAUAUGAUUGACCAAAUUAAAGGGGAAUGAUGUUAUUGUUUUCAAACGCAUGCAGUCAUCCCCGCCCAACGACUCCCUCGUUUGCACAUGAUUUUCUAUCGCUGUUCAGUGGCUUGUGAUUAGAGGAGGUUUGGAACAUGGAUUCAUGUGGGAAUAUUCAAGGAUCUAUUUUUGUGUAUUUCCAUGUACUUAUAUAUAUAUAUAUAUUUAAAGCUUACAA